Long non-coding RNA from Alexandromys fortis (reed vole), 722 nucleotides. RefSeq lists it as uncharacterized. The transcript is spliced from 3 exons. Lineage: Eukaryota; Metazoa; Chordata; Mammalia; Rodentia; Cricetidae. The record is from RefSeq and is a predicted model, not a curated record.
CACCCACACUGGUUAGAUCAUCCAACAACCUGAGACAAAAAUCUACCAGCAAAUAAGGAAUGCGGAGAGCAAGAGACACAGUGUUCCCGAGGAAUGAACCUCCUAACUUGUUAUAUUAUACCAAAUGGUCAACCUUAAUAUGAUCUACUCACAGGCUGUUUUGAACAUAGGAGUCUCUAGCCUUCUCAAAUCUGCUGGCAUUAUAGAUGACAAUGCAUUUUCAAAACUUGGAUGUGAUACACUGCGGGGUAACCACAGCACUUUGCAAUUGUACUGAUUUUCUAUGGAAUCAACUUCCUUCCUCUUUCACAUAUGCCCUUUAAAGAGAUGUUCAGACCACCUACAAGAAAUCAUCUGCAGAUUAUGGAACGUUAAAAACAUUCCCUACACUAUUGGUAUUCUGUUAUUGACUCCCAUGAUGUGGGAGUGGUUUCUUAUUAAUAAAGAAACUGCCUUGGCCCAUUUUAUUGGAUAGAAAAUUAGGUAGGCGGAGUAUACAGAAGAGAAUUCUGGGAGAAAGAAGCUUAGAGAGUCGCCAUGAUUCUCCCGCUCCAGACAGACGCAGAUUAAGAUCCUCCCUGGUAAGCCAGCUCGUGGGCUACACAGAAUAUUAGAAAUGGGUUAGAACAAUAUGUAAGAGCUAGCCAAUAAGAGGCUACAGAUAAUGGGCCAAGCAGUGUUUGAAAGAAUACAGUUUCCGUGUAAUUAUUUUGGGCAUAAGC